UACGGAGGGUGCAAGCGUUGUCCGGAUUUAUUGGGUUUAAAGGGUGCGUAGGCGGAUUGUUAAGUCAGUGGUGAAAGUCUACGGCUCAACCGUAGAAGUGCCAUUGAUACUGGCAGUCUUGAGUACAGUAGAGGUAGGCGGAAUUUAUGGUGUAGCGGUGAAAUGCAUAGAUACCAUAAAGAACACCUAUAGCGAAGGCAGCUUACUAUGCUGUAACUGACGCUGAGGCACGAAAGCGUGGGGAGCGAACAGGAUUAGAUACCCCUGUA
This 269-nucleotide ribosomal RNA is filed under the name uncultured prokaryote. Its description in RNAcentral is "partial 16S ribosomal RNA". It matches the Rfam family "Bacterial small subunit ribosomal RNA", at positions 524 to 792 of the family's 1533-position model. The record is from RNAcentral.